This is a non-coding RNA of Podarcis lilfordi (Lilford's wall lizard), 596 nucleotides long. NCBI's taxonomy places the organism in Eukaryota, Metazoa, Chordata, Lepidosauria, Squamata, Lacertidae. The record is from the annotation of a GenBank genome assembly.
AUAAAAUAAUGCAUACAGAUAUCUUCAGUACAGUGGUAGCCAAUGUGGUAGCCUCUAGAUGUUGUUGGACUCCCAUCAGCCCCAGCCAGCACUGCAAAUAGUAAAGGGUGAUGGGAGUUGUAGUCCAACAACAUCUGGAAGGCAGUACAUUGGCUGUCCCAAUGACUGUAUCAACAUGUAUGUAUGUAUAUUUGCUGGGGCAAGAAAGACACACUGCAAUGAAAGUUCACUCAGAGGGUGGCCUCCACAAUGCUUUAUCAGAAGCUACAUUAGAAUUAAUGAACAUGACUAAGUUAGGUUCAUUAGUUUCAAUGGGUCUACUCUUGAGUAAAACUUAGUUGAACCCAGAGAGAUUUCAUUUUGGAAAAUCAUUUUUUGUUUCAAUUUUUUUUAAUAGCUCUCUCUCUCUAUAAUACUGCACACAUUUUAUCUCGUUUAAAUGUUGGCUCCUUGUUUUAUUGGCAUGUUCCUUUUUUCUCAUUUCUCUCCCUGCCCCCCUUCCAACCGAUCUCGCCUUUUGCCAUAACCAUGUAUGCACAUUAAUCUGAUUACUGAUUGAACUGUCACUGGCAAGAUAAACUUGUUUACCUCCUUGC